Molecule: long non-coding RNA, 656 nt
Organism: Carassius gibelio (silver crucian carp)
Lineage: Eukaryota; Metazoa; Chordata; Actinopteri; Cypriniformes; Cyprinidae
Exons: 3
Source: RefSeq, a predicted model, not a curated record
CAUUAUUCUCUCACUGGUUACUGGAAAUUGACAAAAAAAGACAGAUAUAAUAAGAUAAGGUUUAUUAAUACAAUAAAUACAAAAUAUGUGGUAUUACUAUAAACUGAUAGAUUUAUUUUGAUGCAAGGCAGGGGUGUCCAGACCUGCUCUAAGAAAGCCAGUAUUCUGUGGGGUUCAGCUCUAACACACCUGCCUGGAACUUCAGACUAAUGAAAUUGAAGUAUCCAAAUGAAGACCCUAGCAGUAUGGAGUAUAUGUAUAGAGACGUUGCCAGCAGUCAGGAGGUGAUCCAGAAGACUCGUGGGAAUCUAUUUGAAGCUGCAUCAUUGAAGACAAUCCAGCAGAUGUUGGCGUUUUAAAGGAUACAGUUCUUCAGGACCUAUAGCAGUUUACAGUCUGCAAAACCAUGUUGCUGGGACUGAUUUAUGGACUGAACUUGAGCAACCCUCCUGAACUCAGGUACACAUUUGGAAUACUGAAGAAGUUAUUUCUGGAGCCAGUUCCUGUUCCUGGAAUAAGGUUUGAUUAGUUACCCAUGAAUGCCAAUUAGAAUUUUAUUUGCUAUUUUGUGUAAUUUUGUAAUGUGGUUUAAACUGUAUUUUACUAUGUGUAAUUAUUUAUUGCUUGUUUAACAAAUACACUUUGAUCAUUUGUGA